CCUACGGGCGGCAGCAGUGAGGAAUAUUGGUCAAUGGCCGGGAGGCUGAACCAGCCAAGUCGCGUGAGGGAAGACGGCCCUACGGGUUGUAAACCUCUUUUGUCAGGGAGCAAGGUGCAGGUCGGGACCUGCUUUGAGAGUACCUGAAGAAAAAGCAUCGGCUAACUCCGUGCCAGCAGCCGCGGUAAUACGGAGGAUGCGAGCGUUAUCCGGAUUUAUUGGGUUUAAAGGGUGCGCAGGCGGAGGCACAAGUCAGCGGUAAAAUCGGGGGGCUCAACCCCGCUCCGCCGUUGAAACUGUGACCCUUGAGUGCGCGAAGGGUAGGCGGAAUGCGUGGUGUAGCGGUGAAAUGCAUAGAUAUCACGCAGAACUCCGAUCGCGAAGGCAGCCUACCGGAGCGCAACUGACGCUCAUGCACGAAAGCGUGGGUAUCGAACAGGAUUAGAUACCCCAGUAGUC
Molecule: ribosomal RNA, 459 nt
Filed under: uncultured bacterium
Lineage: Bacteria
Description: partial 16S ribosomal RNA
Rfam family: Bacterial small subunit ribosomal RNA
Source: RNAcentral